UACGUAGGGGGCAAGCGUUGUCCGGAAUCAUUGGGCGUAAAGCGCGUGUAGGCGGUUCGGUAAGUCGGCUGUGAAAGUCCAGGGCUCAACCCUGGGAUGCCGGUCGAUACUGCCGGACUAGAGUUCGGAAGAGGCGAGUGGAAUUCCCGGUGUAGCGGUGAAAUGCGCAGAUAUCGGGAGGAACACCAAUGGCGAAAGCGGCUCUCUGGAACGGUACUGACGCUGAGACGCGAAAGCGUGGGGAGCGAACAGG
This 253-nucleotide ribosomal RNA is filed under the name uncultured bacterium. RNAcentral's name for it is "partial 16S ribosomal RNA". It matches the Rfam family "Bacterial small subunit ribosomal RNA", at positions 524 to 776 of the family's 1533-position model. The record is from RNAcentral.